This 377-nucleotide ribosomal RNA is filed under the name uncultured bacterium. RNAcentral's name for it is "bacterial SSU rRNA". It matches the Rfam family "Bacterial small subunit ribosomal RNA", at positions 523 to 898 of the family's 1533-position model. The record is from RNAcentral.
AUACGGAGGAUGCAAGCGUUAUCCGGAAUGAUUGGGCGUAAAGCGUGCGUAGGCGGUUCGUUAAGUCAGAUGUGAAAGCCCUGGGCUCAACCUGGGAACUGCAUUUGAAACUGGCGGACUAGAGUUUAGUAGAGGGGAGUGGAAUUUCAGGUGUAGCGGUGAAAUGCGUAGAUAUCUGAAGGAACACCAGUGGCGAAGGCGACUCCCUGGACUAGAACUGACGCUGAGGUACGAAAGCGUGGGUAGCAAACAGGAUUAGAUACCCUGGUAGUCCACGCCGUAAACGAUGUCAACUAGCCGUUGGUCCUAUUUACAGGAUUAGUGGCGCAGCUAACGCAUUAAGUUGACCGCCUGGGGAGUACGGCCGCAAGGUUAAA